CAAUAAAUGUCAAUUUCAAACAUUAAUUUCAGAAAAUGUAGGUCUUGUUCAAAUGAUGCAAUGCAGAAAUUGUCAAAGUAUUUAAGAUAUGUUAAUGGCAAACAGACAACUCAACUUUAUCGCCGACGGGAUGACAUCAACCUCUUCAACGUCAACUCCCCAUAUAUAUUCAACAAUAUUCCAUCAUCACUUGCAUAUGGAGGUUAUGUCUCUCAACUGAUUUAAUGCGCGAGAGGGUGUUCUGUGAAUGAUUAAUAUUACAAUCUAGGCCAACUACUGACAAGGUUUCAACAGUCACAUUUAAAGAAAGCUUUUCACAUAACCUAUGGUCGUUAUAAUGAUAUUGUAUGCUAAUUCAACCAGCAGUUAGGUUUAAUGUUACCUGAGGUGUUUGGUACCAGUUGUUAGGCCAGUCUCCACACACGGACUUUGACUACGGAUGGCUAAGUUUACUUCAAGGUGUAGGACUCACAGCGGAUGUGAUCGGUCAACAGGGGGUACUUAUUUCCCUUGGCACCUGAUCCACCUCUGGUGCAUCCGGAAGUCCGUGUUUACCCUAGGUUUGAUAUUGUAUUAUUGCUAGAAGUUUUGGAUUGAUCACUGUUUGCUAUCUCCACAUUUCCAUACAUGACGAGAAGUGAUACCGUAGGAAAUCAGCUCUUGGCUUUGAUUUUGCAUUUGGAAAUUCUUUCUGUCUUGCUGUUCGAACCAUCAGAAAUUUAAUUAAGAGAUCUAUAGAUAUGAAUAUGUCAUUAUCUUAAAGAUGUCGAGGUUGAGGGAUUAAGUAUUAAGUUUAUUGCUGGAAUAUGCAACUGAAUUCUAUUUACCCUUGAAAAACAAAAUCAUUUAAGAUAUGAUAAUACGAUGUAUUGCAAUGAUUAAGAUACAACAGAGCGUAUUUUUCAUAUCAGAAUAGUUCUCAGUUAAUCUGUGCAACUCACAACUCUAUUAAUCCAAGAUGCAGACAAGAUUAACAAAAUUGAAUUAAACCCAGAUUUAUUAUACAUAAUACAGUCAAGAUUUUAGCAGAUUUAUUAGACAAUAUACAAUUUUGUGGCAGGUGUUGGCACAAUCCAUUUAACAUGAAAAUACUAUCCCUGCGGUCAUCCCGGGGAAUCACUAAGCACCCAGGGAUUACCUCCCUUUAACACUGGCGCAAAGCGCCCCCACAGGUAACUGUGGUGGGAACAGACCUCUUGGUACCACCUUACAAGAGUGAAUGCCACGUACGAUGAUAAUUUCAGUUCUGACUCAGGCCCUAACUCUAUCCUGUCUCCCCUGGUACACACCUUGGUCAUUGUUAAGACCCCCAGGGGUAAACCCCAAAGACUUGCCCUUGGUACAGCAAGGGUCAAGCCGGUCCCACAGGUACCACUGAGGUGGCCCCAAAUCCUCCUCAGUACUGAGAAUAGAUUCUCCAGAGUUUUGAGCCAGACAUGAGAGAAAUUUUCAUUUGUGGUAAUCCCCGAAUUCCGCC
Molecule: long non-coding RNA, 1477 nt
Organism: Ostrea edulis (European flat oyster)
Lineage: Eukaryota; Metazoa; Mollusca; Bivalvia; Ostreida; Ostreidae
Exons: 2
Source: RefSeq, a predicted model, not a curated record